Molecule: ribosomal RNA, 452 nt
Filed under: uncultured bacterium
Lineage: Bacteria
Description: bacterial SSU rRNA
Rfam family: Bacterial small subunit ribosomal RNA
Source: RNAcentral
UGGGGAAUAUUGCACAAUGGGCGCAAGCCUGAUGCAGCAACGCCGCGUGAGGGACGACGGCCUUCGGGUUGUAAACCUCUUUUAGUAGGGAAGAAGCGAAAGUGACGGUACCUGCAGAAAAAGCACCGGCUAACUACGUGCCAGCAGCCGCGGUAAUACGUAGGGUGCAAGCGUUAUCCGGAAUUAUUGGGCGUAAAGAGCUCGUAGGCGGUUUGUCGCGUCUGCUGUGAAAACUGGAGGCUCAACCUCCAGCCUGCAGUGGGUACGGGCAAACUAGAGUGCGGUAGGGGAGAUUGGAAUUCCUGGUGUAGCGGUGGAAUGCGCAGAUAUCAGGAGGAACACCGAUGGCGAAGGCAGAUCUCUGGGCCGUAACUGACGCUGAGGAGCGAAAGCAUGGGGAGCGAACAGGAUUAGAUACCCCCGUAGUCCCUGAGCGGGCUGGCAAGGCGCAU